GGAAAGGGGUGGUGAUUAGGGAGAUGACUGCAGAGACUGUUGGUUACAGAGACAGACCAGCAAAGAGGAAGGCUGUAACAAACCUUGUUGCUCCUGAGACUGCAUGGCCCAGCUCCUAGCACACUGAGGCCCCGAUCUUGAUUGGCCUACUAGGCGCUACUGGAAUACACACAUGAUAGGACACCAAAGAAGAAUCUGGUCUAAAGAAGCUUCCUGCUCUACCUGUGCAUGUCUGUCAGCUCUGGAAUGCUCAUUAUUCAUUUAUUAAACAAUAUAUUGUUUGCAUAUAUGCAUUCAGUGAAUUCAGCAAAAUAGCAACCUGAACAGAAGUCCUACCCCGAACACUAUUCAGACUCAGUUGGAGAUGAUUAUUACAGAUGUCAAUAUGAAGACAGGAAAAGCAAAUGUUAUCAACCGUCACGGAGAAAGGAAUAUGUUAACAAAGAGUGAAAGUGGUAGCUUCCCUUCCAACUAACCAAUGGAUAAGAUACCACUUAUCUCCAUACAGGAACAGCAAGAAAGCAGCAUACAAAGAUGGUAUCACUGCAAGUGUCCUGUACAGUUCACUGGUGCACAGAGUCAGCCUAUAAUAAAGUCAUUUGCAUUCACAGGCAGGCUUGCUUGUGUGGACAGCAGAACAGACUCUGGGAAGUGUUGUUUUACUGAAUCAAAAGAAAUUUGCACAUAAAAGCCACAUCCAGGUUAAUUAACCCUGUGGCUCACUCAAUAUUGCCUUCCCAGUACUCCUAAACAAAUCUCAACUGUAUAAUUAAAUCCUCGGAAGAAGUGUCCCUUAUAUCUUUAAGGGCUCAGCUAGGCUUGACAAGUGUCAAAUAUACUCAUAGCUGAUAUAGUUUU
Chelonia mydas (Green sea turtle) is the source of this 858-nucleotide long non-coding RNA. RefSeq lists it as uncharacterized. Lineage: Eukaryota; Metazoa; Chordata; Testudines; Cheloniidae. The record is from RefSeq and is a predicted model, not a curated record. The transcript has 3 exons.